This is a long non-coding RNA of Orbicella faveolata, 1472 nucleotides long. NCBI's taxonomy places the organism in Eukaryota, Metazoa, Cnidaria, Anthozoa, Scleractinia, Merulinidae. The record is from RefSeq and is a predicted model, not a curated record.
AAAAGGCAAGAUUCGUUUGUUUUCUCUCUGUUUUGGUUGGAGGGCUAGUGAUAUCUACAGUGGCACAAUUCAGUUUCAUUUCAAUUCUCCCAUUUCCCACGACUGACGUUCAGUAGACCUUAUGAACAUAUUUACCCAGUUUUCAGUACGUUUUAGAUGUAGUUAUGACUAUAUUGCAAGUUAGAACGAGAACUUAAACGAAAACUUGUUUGGUGUUAGCUUACCGAGAUGUUAAUGAUAUUUUGUGCCCGUCAGCUCAAAAUAAGAAGGGAAGUGUAAAACGUUUUUUUCAAAUCAAGAGUUCUUGCUCAAAAUAUUACUUGCCAUGAUGCCCAGAGCCUUCGCUUUUACGGUCAGCGUCACCGGACGAGCGAGGGGUUGGUUGUUUGAACAAAAAAAAAAAAUGAGUUUAUAAAAUAUUAUUAGAGAAAAUGGAAGAGAAAAUAAUCACAAAAUGAUGAAAAGCCGCGCGGGCAAAUAAAAAAUCCAUGCAGAUGUUCUAAAUCACGGGAAAAGUUAGGAAACUUGUGAGAAAAGUCAUAAACGCUUGAAUCACAGCGCAGCUACAAGUUAGAGUUUUCCGUUAUAUGGAAUACAAACUGUAUAUAUGAUAUGAGUUUUAAAACAAACCUUGAAAGAGCGAAAAAUUGCAGAGUAGCUGCAAAAUAAUCUUGUAAAGCAGAUUUAUUUUUUUGUUGGAAUGUUAGUAAUAGUUAUAUUCUUGCUAACCGUACAUAACUUUGCAAUUCAUUUGUAAUCUAUUAAAUAGUGUUAAGGUAUCGUUUUCCAUUUAUUCGGCAAUCAAAGCGCACAGAAAUAAACAGACACUGAACGAAAGUAGACAAAAUCCUGCAGUUGAGGGAUGACCCCUGCCUGGGAGGUAACCAAUGCUUUCGCUUUCGUCACAAACGCUGCUUAGCAAUGCAACGGAUCACUUCCUUACUUUAAUAACCCUGGUUACAUGCUCUUGCCCACAAACUAUUUACCUGCCGGCUACAGUCAGGGGGAGGUUUAGCAUAGAAACGAGGCAAAGGGGUCAUCAGGCAUAGAUACGUUGUUUUUGAUCAGGUUUACGUAUUUAUCACUCAUAAACAGUGGGGUGCUCGAGCCCAGAUAUCCAACGGCCAAGCGGAACAGAGUGAGAUCUGAGCACGAGAUCAGUCACUUGCAAGUGUCAAAAACUUAAUAAAUAGCACAGUUAUCUGUGAAUAUGUAGGCAAGUUUCCAGCUUGUUGUAACAGACAAUUUAUUCCAUAAGUUAAAGGGGUAGUACACAGUAUCUUUUACAACUAUUGGUUACGCUUUGUAAAGGAAAGUGAUGUAUUUUUAAGACGGUGUAGUUAUUUUCCAAGAGACUGGAUCAGCAGUCUGUUAAUGUCCUCCAGCUGUUCUGACACAUUUUGCUUCAAGGGGCGAUAGUCACUCUCCAUGCUUUUAGAAGCAAUAACUGGGGACUGUUAAGGAGUUGUAUA